AACAUCGGCGCUUGUUCACCUCUC
This 24-nucleotide non-coding RNA is filed under the name Arabidopsis thaliana (thale cress). Lineage: Eukaryota; Viridiplantae; Streptophyta; Magnoliopsida; Brassicales; Brassicaceae. The record is from RNAcentral.